Molecule: ribosomal RNA, 468 nt
Filed under: uncultured bacterium
Lineage: Bacteria
Description: partial 16S ribosomal RNA
Rfam family: Bacterial small subunit ribosomal RNA
Source: RNAcentral
GACGAACGCUGGCGGCGUGCUUAACACAUGCAAGUCGAACGGAAAGGCCCUGCUUUUGUGGGGUGCUCGAGUGGCGAACGGGUGAGUAACACGUGAGUAACCUGCCCUUGACUUUGGGAUAACUUCAGGAAACUGGGGCUAAUACCGGAUAGGAGCUCCUGCUGCAUGGGGGGGGUUGGAAAGUUUCGGCGGUUGGGGGUGGACUCGCGGCUUAUCAGCUGGUUGGUGGGGUAGUGGCUUACCAAGGCUUUGACGGGUAGCCGGCCUGAGAGGGUGACCGGCCACCUUGGGCCUGCGGUACGGCCCAGUCGCCUACGGGCGGCAGUAGUGGGGAAUAUUGCGCAAUGGGCGGAAGCCUGAUGCGGCAACGCCGCGUGCGGGAUGCCGGCCUUCGGGUUGUAAACCGCUUUCGCCUGUGACGAAGCGUGAGUGACGGUAAUGGGUAAAGAAGCACCGGCUAACUACGUG